UACAGAGGUCCCAAGCGUUGUUCGGAUUCAUUGGGCGUAAAGGGUGCGUAGGCGGCGCGGUAAGUCGGGUGUGAAAUCUCGGAGCUUAACUCCGAAACUGCAUUCGAUACUGCCGUGCUUGAGGACUGGAGAGGAGACUGGAAUUUACGGUGUAGCGGUGAAAUGCGUAGAUAUCGUAAGGAAGACCAGUGGCGAAGGCGGGUCUCUGGACAGUUCCUGACACUGAGGCACGAAGGCCAGGGGAGCAAACGGG
This 253-nucleotide ribosomal RNA is filed under the name uncultured bacterium. Its description in RNAcentral is "partial 16S ribosomal RNA". It matches the Rfam family "Bacterial small subunit ribosomal RNA", at positions 524 to 776 of the family's 1533-position model. The record is from RNAcentral.